Molecule: transfer RNA, 76 nt
Filed under: Alphaproteobacteria bacterium
Lineage: Bacteria; Pseudomonadati; Pseudomonadota; Alphaproteobacteria
Also listed under: 1 other name
Description: tRNA-Glu
Rfam family: tRNA
About the family: Transfer RNA (tRNA) molecules are approximately 80 nucleotides in length. Their secondary structure includes four short double-helical elements and three loops (D, anti-codon, and T loops).
Source: RNAcentral
GUCCCCUUCGUCUAGUGGUCUAGGACGCCGCCCUUUCACGGCGGAAACACGGGUUCGAGUCCCGUAGGGGGCACCA